RNAcentral lists this long non-coding RNA (330 nucleotides) under Panax ginseng (ginseng). Its description in RNAcentral is "long non-coding RNA (PGIN_LNC008412)". Lineage: Eukaryota; Viridiplantae; Streptophyta; Magnoliopsida; Apiales; Araliaceae. The record is from RNAcentral.
CUUGUAAAAUCUGUUUUGGACUUAUGUUGUUUACGUGGCCUUUGUGCUUGAGUUAUUAGAUUCUGAGGGGUGUUUUACACCUAAUGCCCUAAAGUCUUCUGGCUUGGGAGUCAUUGAUCGAAAGCUUUCUAACGAGUACUCUGUUUUGCCUCAAAGUAUUCAAGUUCUGUCUAAGUUAGAUUUUACUUUUCUUUUCUAGAACUUUCGAGCCUUUCAUGCUUCUGCGUCUUGUUUUAAUUCUUGUUAUUAGCGUGAGUUGCUUGGGUGCCUGUUGGUUAUCAUGGUCGACAAUAAGAUCUUCAUUGGGUUAUGGCUAGUGUAGAUAUGUGG